GGUCUCAGCGUCUCCAAUGGAAAGGACCAACUUGUCGUGUUCCACACAAAAGACAACAAAGACCUAAUUGUCUGCCUCUUCAGCAAACAGCCAACCCACGAGAGUCGAAUUGGAGAACUGGUUGGAGUCCUGGUGAAUCAUUUCAAGAGUGAGAAGCGCCACCUGCAAGUCAAUGUCACCAACCCCGUCCAGUGCAGCCUGCACGGGAAGAAGUGCACAGUCUCCGUGGAGACACGGCUCAACCAGCCGCAGCCUGACUUCACCAAGAAUCGCUCGGGCUUCAUCCUCAGUGUGCCCGGCAAUUGAGGCGCAGGGGGACGAGGGCUGCCCGCCCAGCCGCCACUAGACGCCCGCUCGUCAGGGUCCAGGCUGGGAGGAAGCCCCCUGCCUCCCCUGCGAAUCCCCCCCGAGGGCCAGCCCGGCUUCUGCCUUUGAUCUCUGUCUUCCUCUGUCCCGACUGUCCACGGCCCCCUCAACAAAUCAAAGACCCUGUGUCCAGCCCAGCCUGCAGCAGCCCCUCCAAAACAGCUCCCCUCUGGUCAGCGAGGGCCACCCCCAUGCCAGGUCAGAUCGGCCUGCCUGGCCCUGUGACUGGCCCUGCCAGGGGAGGGCUGGGGGAGCCUGGAUGUCGUUUCCAACCAAAGCCAAGCCCCUGGAGUUGGGGGCGGCUGUGGGGAGGUAGCCCUGCCUUCUCUCUGGGGCCAGCUGCCCCUUCCUCCCCAAGGUGAUGGCAACCCCACGCCCUGGUUCAGGGAGCUUCUCAGAGCUCCCCAUGAACCCCCUCUCCCCAGCAGCCCGCCGAGACCACCAGGUGAGCAGGUUCACCCGGAGAACCAGCCCCUCCGCCCAGGAGCCCCUGGCCAAAGGAACCAUGCCGCCCAGCGGGCAGUCUGUCCCGCUCGGAGCCGGCCCAGCCCCUUGACCCUCUGCCCAGAGAGCAUGGUUCGGGGACGCUCCAGGAAUCAUCCUACUUAUCCACGCAGCCCAGGCCAUGGUAGUCUUACACUCAUUUCUGCAGUUAGGAGCAGGGUUACUAACCAGACACCACGUCCGCUCUACCCACACUGGUGUCAGGAACACUAAUAAAAUGGAAUAAAAGGGGAGCACUCGGGGGUCUGGAAGUCUUCCCCCUCCAAUGCCUCUGCCUCACACUCACGUGGAGAACCAGGCCAGGGGCGGGAGGGUCGAGGCCCACAGGAACUUGGGGAACGGGAGCGAUAGGAAAGAGAGCGGGGGUCCUGGCACUGCGGGCCAGGCCAGGAUGCCCACCCAGGCUAGGAGAGUGGUCACCCUGCCAGUCCCUGCCCUGCAGAGCGUACGUGUGCUCCAGACGCCCCGGGACCACGCCGCACUCCCCUGGGCAGCCCCAGGCCUCCCAGCCUGGAACCUUCAAGAGUCAAGACCCAGGCACCCCAUGUGGUGAAGGAGGCGCUAAGAAUGAGCCCACGCCCCAGGUGGAGCCAGACAGGGUGUCGAAAAGAACACUGUUUCGCCGCUGGGGCUCCUCCCCAACCCCCUGCAUGCUCCUCCCCGCUCCCCAUCUCCACGCCCCUCCCACCCCACACCCCAGCCCCGCCUGGCACACCCAGGGCCCGCUGCCGCGAUGCCGAGCACAUGCACACCCCAUAGCAUCCACAGCACAAGAGCCCUGCUGCCAUCCAGGUCUCUGAAACCCACUCUCAUCCUCCAAGCCUGGUCAGCUGCCCGCACAGGGCCCCAUUCAGCAACACCCACAGCUUUGCCAACUGCCUUACACUAUCGGUCCUCCCUAACUGGAACAUCGCCUCUCCUUUCCAAUUACUGCCCCCAAACUUGUUGCUUUACUAGAUACAUGCAAAGGUUAUGUUUUAGACACACCAAAACAGAAUAUGCCAAAUGAGUGCCUUUUGGAGGCUGGAGAGGAAGGGGGAGUCCGGAGUCCCACCUCCCACCGUUGGGUGUGGCCUCUGGCCUUGAGCUCAGCGCCUCCCAGCUGAGGGCCGAUGCGCCAGCACCAUCCACAAGCACUUUUUCAUGAUGUCCUGCAAGAAGUCACAGUGUGUGUGGCCACUGAAGGAAAGAAUUCCAGGUGUGAUCACGGUGCGAAGGCAAAGCAGGAGGGACACAGUGAUUGUAUGCAAUGAAGUGUUUUCUCGUGAUUUAGUUAAAUGUGGUUUUAUGGUUUGGUGCGUAUAUUCCUAUUUUCCAUUAAAUUAACUUUAUUUCUAAAGCAUAUUUUGAUUUAUCAUCAAGAGCAAUAAAGCAUUAAAUCUUACUCUUAAA
Molecule: non-coding RNA, 2262 nt
Organism: Odocoileus virginianus texanus
Lineage: Eukaryota; Metazoa; Chordata; Mammalia; Artiodactyla; Cervidae
Source: RefSeq, a predicted model, not a curated record